CCUACGGGAGGCUGCAGUGGGGAAUCUUGGACAAUGGGGGGAACCCUGAUCCAGCCAUGCCGCGUGUGUGAAGAAGGCCUUUUGGUUGUAAAGCACUUUAAGCGAGGAGGAGGCUACUAGUAUUAAUACUACUGGAUAGUGGACGUUACUCGCAGAAUAAGCACCGGCUAACUCUGUGCCAGCAGCCGCGGUAAUACAGAGGGUGCGAGCGUUAAUCGGAUUUACUGGGCGUAAAGCGUGCGUAGGCGGCUGAUUAAGUCGGAUGUGAAAUCCCUGAGCUUAACUUAGGAAUUGCAUUCGAUACUGGUCAGCUAGAGUAUGGGAGAGGAUGGUAGAAUUCCAGGUGUAGCGGUGAAAUGCGUAGAGAUCUGGAGGAAUACCGAUGGCGAAGGCAGCCAUCUGGCCUAAUACUGACGCUGAGGUACGAAAGCAUGGGGAGCAAACAGGAUAGAUACCCUAGUAGUC
Molecule: ribosomal RNA, 465 nt
Filed under: uncultured Acinetobacter sp.
Lineage: Bacteria; Pseudomonadati; Pseudomonadota; Gammaproteobacteria; Moraxellales; Moraxellaceae
Description: bacterial SSU rRNA
Rfam family: Bacterial small subunit ribosomal RNA
Source: RNAcentral